CCAAUAGCGUAUAUUAAAGUUGUUGCAGUUAAAAAGCUCGUAGUUGAAUUUCGGGAUCAGUAGGUUGGUCGUGCCGCUGGUAUGUACUGGCCUUACUGGUUCCUCCUUCUUGUAGAACCGUAAUGCCAUUAAGUUGGUGUUGCGGGGAAACAGGACUGUUACUUUGAAAAAAUUAGAGUGUUUAAAGCAGGCUAACGCUUGAAUACAUUAGCAUGGAAUAAUGAAAUAGGACGAACGAUCCUAUUUUGUUGGUUUCUAGGAUUGACGUAAUGAUUAAUAGGGAUAGUUGGGGGCAUUAGUAUUCAAUUGUCAGAGGUGAAAUUCUUGGAUUUAUUGAAGACUGACUACUGCGAAAGCAUUUGCCAAGGAUGUUUUCAUUAAUCAAGAACGAAAGUUAGGGGAUCGAAGACGAUCAGAUACCGUCGUAGUCUUAACCAUAAACUAUGCCGACUAGGGAUCGGAUGAUGUUAAUUUUUUAAUGACUCAUUCGGCGCCUUACG
RNAcentral lists this ribosomal RNA (500 nucleotides) under uncultured Glomeromycotina. Its description in RNAcentral is "partial small subunit ribosomal RNA". It matches the Rfam family "Eukaryotic small subunit ribosomal RNA", at positions 591 to 1092 of the family's 1831-position model. Lineage: Eukaryota; Fungi; Glomeromycota. The record is from RNAcentral.